Schizothecium vesticola is the source of this 111-nucleotide non-coding RNA. NCBI's taxonomy places the organism in Eukaryota, Fungi, Ascomycota, Sordariomycetes, Sordariales, Schizotheciaceae. The record is from the annotation of a GenBank genome assembly.
GCCCGCUUGGCUCAGUGGUAGAGCGUGUCACUAGUAGGGGAUUCAGCUCACUUCUCAUGAAGUGGAUCAUUUCCAAUGACAAGGUCAUCAGUUCAAUUCUGAUAGUGGUUG